This 488-nucleotide ribosomal RNA is filed under the name Arxiozyma bovina. RNAcentral's name for it is "LSU rRNA". It matches the Rfam family "Eukaryotic large subunit ribosomal RNA", at positions 131 to 633 of the family's 3401-position model. Lineage: Eukaryota; Fungi; Ascomycota; Saccharomycetes; Saccharomycetales; Saccharomycetaceae. The record is from RNAcentral.
CUGGUGCUCGAGUUGUAAUUUGUAGAGUGGAUCCUUGGGGCCGUUCCUUGCCUAUGUUCCUUGGAACAGGACGUCAUGGAGGGUGAGAACCCCGUGUGGCGAGGGGCGCGGCUCCGUGUAAGGGCUGCUCGAAGAGUCGAGUUGUUUGGGAAUGCAGCUCUAAGUGGGUGGUAAAUUCCAUCUAAAGCUAAAUACAGGCGAGAGACCGAUAGCGAACAAGUACAGUGAUGGAAAGAUGAAAAGAACUUUGAAAAGAGAGUGAAAAAGUACGUGAAAUUGUUGAAAGGGAAGGGCAUUUGAUCAGACAUGGUGUUUUGCGCCCCCUGCUCCUUGUGGGCGGGGGACCCUCGCAGCUCACUGGGCCAGCAUCAGUUUUGGCGGCUGGAUAAAACCGGAGGAAUGUGGCUUCUCUCGGGAAGUGUUAUAGCCUGCGGGAAUGCGGCCAGCCGGGACUGAGGAACGCGACUUUUGUCAAGGAUGCUGGCAUA